This 433-nucleotide ribosomal RNA is filed under the name uncultured bacterium. RNAcentral describes it as "partial 16S ribosomal RNA". It matches the Rfam family "Bacterial small subunit ribosomal RNA", at positions 29 to 507 of the family's 1533-position model. The record is from RNAcentral.
AACGAACGCUGGCGGCAUGCCUAACACAUGCAAGUCGAACGAGACCUUCGGGUCUAGUGGCGCACGGGUGCGUAACGCGUGGGAACCUGCCCUUAGGUUCGGAAUAACUCCCCGAAAGGGGUGCUAAUACCGGAUAAUGUCUUCGGACCAAAGCUUUAUCGCCUUUGGAUGGGCCCGCGUUGGAUUAGCUAGUUGGUAGGGUAAAAGCCUACCAAGGCGACGAUCCAUAGCUGGUCUGAGAGGAUGAUCAGCCACACUGAGACUGAGACACGGCCCAGACUCCUACGGGAGGCAGCAGUGGGUAAUAUUGGACAAUGGGCGAAAGCCUGAUCCAGCAAUGCCGCGUGAGUGAUGAAGGCCUUAGGGUUGUAAAGCUCUUUUACCCGGGAUGAUAAUGACAGUACCGGGAGAAUAAGCUCCGGCUAACUCCGUG